Molecule: ribosomal RNA, 264 nt
Filed under: uncultured Ascomycota
Lineage: Eukaryota; Fungi; Ascomycota
Description: partial 18S ribosomal RNA
Rfam family: Eukaryotic small subunit ribosomal RNA
Source: RNAcentral
UUAAAAAGCUCGUAGUUGAACCUUGGGCCUGGCUGGCCGGUCCGCCUCACCGCGUGCACUGGUCCGGCCGGGCCUUUCCCUCUGGGGAGCCCCAUGCCCUUCACUGGGUGUGGUGGGGAACCAGGACUUUUACUUUGAACAAAUCAGAUCGCUUAAAGAAGGCCUAUGCUCGAAUGCUUUAGCAUGGAAUAAUAGAAUAGGACGUGUGGUUCUAUUUUGUUGGUUUCUAGGACCGCCGUAAUGAUUAAUAGGGACAGUCGGGGG